Molecule: long non-coding RNA, 456 nt
Organism: Cydia splendana
Lineage: Eukaryota; Metazoa; Arthropoda; Insecta; Lepidoptera; Tortricidae
Exons: 2
Source: RefSeq, a predicted model, not a curated record
AGCACGUCAUUUUUUAGGGUUCCGUAGCCAAAUGGCAAAAAACGGAACCCUUAUGGAUUCGUCAUGUCUGUCUGUCUGUCCUAGAUGUAUUCUGUGAACCGCAUUAAGAUUUUCACACAAAAAAAAAAAACAAUACAUUUUGGGGGUUCCCCAUACAUACAACUGAAACUCAAAUUUUUUUUUUCAUCAAACCCAUACGUGUGGGGUAUCUAUGGAUAGGUCUUCAAAAAUGAUAUUGAGAUUUCUAAUAUCAUUUUUUUCUGAAUAGUUUGCGUGAGAGACACUUCCAAAGUGGUAAAAUGUGUCCCCCCCCCCCUGUAACUUUUGAAUAAGAGAAUGAUAAAACUAUAAAAAAUAUAUGAUGUACAUUGCCAUGCAUACUUCCACCGAAAAUUGGUUUGAACGAGAUCUAGUAAGUAGUUUUUUUUAAUACGUCAUAAAUCGUAAACCACAAUU